AACGAACGCUGGCGGCAGGCUUAACACAUGCAAGUCGAACGCCCCGCAAGGGAGGUGGCAGACGGGUGAGUAACGCGUGGGAAGUCUAGCUAGUUCUACGGAACAACAGAGGGAAACGUUCUGCUAAUACCGUAUACGCCCCAACGGGGGAAAGGAUUUAUCGGAAUUAGAUGAGCCCGCGUAAGAUUAGCUAGUUGGUGGGGUAAUGGCCUACCAAGGCGACGAUCUUUAGCUGGUCUGAGAGGAUGAUCAGCCACACUGGGACUGAGACACGGCCCAGACUCCUACGGGAGGCAGCAGUGGGGAAUAUUGGACAAUGGGCGGCAAGCCUGAUCCAGCCAUGCCGCGUGAGUGAUGAAGG
Molecule: ribosomal RNA, 361 nt
Filed under: uncultured bacterium
Lineage: Bacteria
Description: bacterial SSU rRNA
Rfam family: Bacterial small subunit ribosomal RNA
Source: RNAcentral